GUUUUGUACAUACCGCCCGUCACACCACGAGAGUUUGUAACACCCGAAGCCGGUGGAUUAACCAUUUUGGAGCUAGUCGUCGAAGGUGGGACAAAUUUUUGGGGUUAAGUCGUAACAAGGUAGACGUAUCGGAAGGUGUGGCUGUAUCACCUCCUUUCUAAGGAA
Molecule: ribosomal RNA, 165 nt
Filed under: Staphylococcus pseudintermedius
Lineage: Bacteria; Bacillati; Bacillota; Bacilli; Caryophanales; Staphylococcaceae
Description: partial 16S ribosomal RNA
Rfam family: Bacterial small subunit ribosomal RNA
Source: RNAcentral